UUUGGGGGAGGGGGGUCCCUCUGCCCGGAUUGCAAGAGGGUGCAGGCCAGGCUGAGGGACCCCACUGGUGCACU
This is a non-coding RNA of Myotis brandtii (Brandt's bat), 74 nucleotides long. Lineage: Eukaryota; Metazoa; Chordata; Mammalia; Chiroptera; Vespertilionidae. The record is from Rfam.